Molecule: long non-coding RNA, 1434 nt
Filed under: Ananas comosus (pineapple)
Lineage: Eukaryota; Viridiplantae; Streptophyta; Magnoliopsida; Poales; Bromeliaceae
Description: long non-coding RNA (ACOM_LNC039148)
Source: RNAcentral
AAUAAGGUGUAUAUAUAUGAGAUUAUUUGGUCAAUAGGUAAAUAAUAUCUAAAAAUUACGAAAUUUAGUUCAUACGAAGUUCAGUUCAAUGGCACUGAUCGUUGAUUUGGAUGCCCUGGCAUUAAACACGGCGUGAAAGCACCAAGAGUUUGGUACUUCUAAACUACGCAAUUUGACUUCACUGUCCAAACAUUUUGAGCAUGACAUAACGUCUUUGAGACGUUACUAAUUUGUGGCACAAACGAACUCUGGAGGGAGUUUACGUGAAACAAGAACCUGUUCUUUAGUUUGAUUUAAGUCGUUUUCAAGUUCAGGCGAUGUUGUAGUUCGGAUGGAUCUGAUGCAUUUUUCCACUAAAAUUUACUUUUCUUCCUCUACCUAUUCACGCCUAUUGUGAAUAACAGGUAGACAUUUUGAGAUUCAUUAUUAUAAAAUAUAAAUUGAUUUGCAAGCGUGCCUACCAUGACUAUUUGAACUUGUUAGAACAUCUUUUUGAGCAGAAUUGGUUGCCAACUUUAUGACUAAAGGCAUGGAAAUUACUUGUAAUUUCAGGAACUUUGGAGUGGCCACAAUGGUACCAACAUUUGCUCCAGCUGCUUUCUUGUUCUAGUGUUUGUGGAGAGCAAAUUAAGAAGGGGGGGGGGAGUGUGUGGGGACUGUAGAUGCUUCAUUUGUUUCAAAAGUCUCUUUUCAUAUUUGUAACUGACUUAUAUGAAGAUCCUGUUGGUUUUUAUUUGAUGUGAAGACACAAAGUCUCUCUCUCUCUCUCUCUCUCUCUCUCUCUCUCUCUCUCUAUAUAUAUAUAUAUAUAUAUAUAUACCUCUUGCACAGUUUGGAAAUAUAGAUUGGAUUUAGAUUUGUGCCAGUGCAGAAAACAGAGUCCUAGUAAACAUCAGUUUCCCGAAGGGGUUCGGAGAGAGCAGUUCAUGAAGUUUCACCCUGAUUUCAAUUUCAUCCUCAACUGAACUAAUUUUGACACGGGAGUUUGACCCUCAUUUACAUUACAUAUCUAAAAUUUAAUGUCGGCUCCAAAUCCAUUCUCAAAAAACUUAUUUUUUUAACAAAAAACACAUCAAGCGACGAGGUUAAUAUUUCUCUAAACAAAUCGGCACAGCUAUCUAAUUGUUUCAUAAUUGUAGCCGAGUUCAUUUCCAAUAAAUGAAGGAAGCAGAUAGCUUGUCAUCUUUCUCUUAACAAUAUAUAUAUAUAUAUAUAUAUAUAUAUAUAGAGUAGGGCUAGAAUACUUGUAAAAGUAUCAUGGGGGUGCUACUUGUGUGUUUUUAGCCCUUGGAUGAAGAGAUGUGAGGUUGAGAUGAUGGUGAUAGGUGGUGGUAGGUGGAAUAGUGUUUAAUCCGAGGGCUAUUAAUAAUCAAAAAGUAGAUCCAAUGGCUUAAAACCUAAUAGCACCAUAAUGGUGAUACUUGUAAAAGUAUC